RNAcentral lists this ribosomal RNA (360 nucleotides) under uncultured microorganism. Its description in RNAcentral is "bacterial SSU rRNA". It matches the Rfam family "Archaeal small subunit ribosomal RNA", at positions 330 to 646 of the family's 1478-position model. The record is from RNAcentral.
GCGCACCAGUCGAGAAUCCUCCGCAAUGCUCGAAAGAGCGACGGGGGACUCCAAGUGCCUACGCUCAGCGUAGGCUGUUCCCGAGCCUAAAAAGCUCGGGGAGUAAGGGCUGGGUAAGACGGGUGCCAGCCGCCGCGGUAAUACCCGCAGCCCGAGUGGUGGCCGCUAUUAGUUGGGCCUAAAGCGUCCGUAGCCGGCUCGGUAAACGCCUGGGUAAAUCGUCUGGCCCCAACCAGACGAAUUCCGGGUAGACUGCCGGGCUAGGGACCGGAGGAGGGAGAGGGUACUCCGAGGGGUAGGGGUGAAAUCAGCAAGGUGAGUUGCUGAUGUAACUUGCCUUGCAAGUCACAAUCCUGUAAU